UCACUAGAAGAUGAUGAUGUCUAGUUGUACCUCUUCACCAGACUGGAUUCAGAGUAUGAUCCAAUUGUCACUUCUCUACCACUCGGUCUGAUCCCCUUAGCCUUGAUGACAUUUAUGCUCACCUCCUCACCUUCGAGA
Small nucleolar RNA from Phragmites australis (common reed), 138 nucleotides. RefSeq annotates it as small nucleolar RNA Z247. The transcript has a single exon. The record is from RefSeq and is a predicted model, not a curated record. Lineage: Eukaryota; Viridiplantae; Streptophyta; Magnoliopsida; Poales; Poaceae.